GAUAAGAUUUCUCUGUAAUCGUUGUACUGCCUUGAUAAAAGCACCCUUGCACCUUUUUCCAUUUGACACCAAG
Molecule: small nucleolar RNA, 73 nt
Organism: Jaculus jaculus (lesser Egyptian jerboa)
Lineage: Eukaryota; Metazoa; Chordata; Mammalia; Rodentia; Dipodidae
Product: small nucleolar RNA MBII-202
Exons: 1
Source: RefSeq, a predicted model, not a curated record